UGACGAGCGGCGGACGGGUGAGUAAUGUCUGGGAAACUGCCUGAUGGAGGGGGAUAACUACUGGAAACGGUAGCUAAUACCGCAUAACGUCGCAAGACCAAAGAGGGGGACCUUCGGGCCUCUUGCCAUCGGAUGUGCCCAGAUGGGAUUAGCUUGUAGGUGAGGUAACGGCUCACCUAGGCGACGAUCCCUAGCUGGUCUGAGAGGAUGACCAGCCACACUGGAACUGAGACACGGUCCAGACUCCUACGGGAGGCAGCAGUGGGGAAUAUUGCACAAUGGGCGCAAGCCUGAUGCAGCCAUGCCGCGUGUAUGAAGAAGGCCUUCGGGUUGUAAAGUACUUUCAGCGGGGAGGAAGGUGUUGUGGUUAAUAACCGCAGCAAUUGACGUUACCCGCAGAAGAAGCACCGGCUAACUCCGUGCCAGCAGCCGCGGUAAUACGGAGGGUGCAAGCGUUAAUCGGAAUUACUGGGC
This 474-nucleotide ribosomal RNA is filed under the name Pantoea agglomerans. RNAcentral's name for it is "bacterial SSU rRNA". It matches the Rfam family "Bacterial small subunit ribosomal RNA", at positions 89 to 559 of the family's 1533-position model. Lineage: Bacteria; Pseudomonadati; Pseudomonadota; Gammaproteobacteria; Enterobacterales; Erwiniaceae. The record is from RNAcentral.